This 251-nucleotide ribosomal RNA is filed under the name uncultured prokaryote. RNAcentral's name for it is "partial 16S rRNA". It matches the Rfam family "Bacterial small subunit ribosomal RNA", at positions 525 to 775 of the family's 1533-position model. The record is from RNAcentral.
ACGGAGGGAGCAAGCGUUGUUCGGAUUUACUGGGCGUAAAGGGCGUCUAGGCGGGUUGGUCAGUCAGGUGUGAAACCCCCCGGCUCAAACGGGGAUCUGCACUUGAUACUGCCAAUUUUGAGUACGGAAGAGGAAAGCGGAAUUCCUGGUGUAGCGGUGAAAUCCGAAAAUCCCAGGAAGAACACCGGUGGCGAAGGCGCCUAUCUGGUACGAUCCUGACUCUGAAGCGCGAAAGUGUGGGGAGCAAUCAG